Molecule: non-coding RNA, 5078 nt
Organism: Zootermopsis nevadensis
Lineage: Eukaryota; Metazoa; Arthropoda; Insecta; Blattodea; Termopsidae
Source: RefSeq, a predicted model, not a curated record
UUAGCAGUUUUGUUUCUAGUCCUGUCUUUAGACUGAUCUGAGUUAGAAUUCUUCAUUAUUUCAUAUUAAUUCAGGUACCUGUUUGUCAUCAGAGUUCCUAGUUUCUGGUCUCGUACGGUAAUCAUUGCUUGCACUUAGACCUGGUCUAUCCAUCUUAUAUUAAUUGUGCUAAGUGACUUUGUAAUUGUUUAGUUUAAUCAUUCACUCAUCUGAAUGAUCGACAUCUACAGUGCGUCCCAAAAAGAUGCUGACAUAUGUAAUGGUUGUGUGUAUACAUCUUUUUGGGACGCGCCGUCUAUUUGAACUGGGUUACUGUGACAUGUAUCAUUGCGUUAGUUACCCUUGAACAUGGAAGACAAAAGACCUGAUCCAUAUGAAAAGGAGUUGUGUCUCAAGUCAAUGUGAUGCUGUAACUUCAUAGUGAUAUGAAUUAGAUGCCUCUAACUGUAUCAGCGAAUACUGUCAGCAUUCAGCUGUUGAACACUAACAUUUUGUGACAUUAUUGCAGUUAUUCUUGCGAGGUUCUUUUUUAUAGUUGAGGUUAUCGUAUUCAUGAAAUUUGUGGUGAGACGGACAGCCGGCUCAGAGUGCGAGUUCGCGUUAUAUAGAGAAUAUAUAAACAUGUUAGAAAGUAGGACUGGAUAUCUUAAAGAGACAUUUGAAGGUUAUAUUGGUAAUAUACCAAUUUCAGACCGUGUUGUACGAAAUGUUAUGGAUCGAAUUUCAAUAUUGGCUGAUUAGAGGCCAGGCAGGGUUGAAACUAUUGAAAUAGCACUGAGCCUCGAGUGCUUCAUUGUCACUUUUGUUGUAUUUGACAUAAUUCUUCUGAGUGUGCAGCAGAGUGUACUGUAGUUAAUGUCAUGAACUGGAGUGUCAUGUGUCGUGUUUGUCAUCAUAGUUGUAGUCGUAAUUGGAGAGUCUUUAUUAAAAAUGUUAUGGUUAACCAGUUUAGUGAAUCUCAACCCAUUGGCAGACUUUCACAUCUGUCUGAUGUCCACCCUUUAAUAGCUGUAAAAAAAGUUGUCAGAAAUAAGUUGAAACGAUUGAUCAUUCGGCAAAGUAUGUGGAAGUGUUUUCGUAGACUCGAGCAUUUGUGUUGAAAGCUUUGAAUUAAUGUUUAAAUAGUUAUUUUGAGUAGACCAAAUAAAGUAAUAUGCCAAGGGGUUAAGAGUUGUCAUCAAACCAAUACAGUGAAAUCUCUGUGUAAGAAGAGUUUUAAAAUAAAUAAACUUCAUAGGUAGUCAGUCAGGGAACUCCCUGUUUUGCAAGCCGUCCCGCUAAUAUUCUUUCUUGACCUCAGCACUGGAUGGGGGUGAGUGGUCAGCAUCAUGACCUGGUUGCGCUUUACUCCCGCGAAGGGACCCCGGUACCCAUCGGAUAGGAGGCUUGGUGGGCCCCAGAGCUUGUCUGGACGCAGAGGCUAGAGGAAAAAUCCUCUGCCCCCGUUUCGGAUUGACCCCCGGUCAUCCGGUCUGCAGCCAGUCGCAAUAUUGACUGAGCUAUGCUGGCUUCUUACCAGACAAAUUUUAAAUUUCAGUACUGGGGGAAGAAAAUGCAGCUUUGAAUUUGAGCUUCAAAUAGGAAGUACUUUAAUAUUCAGACUUUGAUUUCAUCUUCAGAAUGCAUCCUGCAAAUUAUAGAUGAUUUGGGUUCAUUCCCCAACAGGAAUAUGUGGAUUUUUCACUUUGCCAAAGGUUCUCGGACUGUUCCAGCAUCUGUAAUAACUGUGUAGUUACUGACUCUAUGAUGUAGGAUGUCACUUGUAUGGUCAAAGAAUUCCCCAUCGCAUGGAGCUUACGUUCAAACGAGCCUGACUCUAGUCCCUAUUCUGAGCCAGUUCAAUAUACUCCCCACCCUCACAUCAUAUUUGUUAUACAUUUUUCAUCUUCCUAAUGGCUGGAACAGCGAUCCUAACAAUCUCGUCUUUAACUGUAAUCAUACUCCGGUACUGUAGUAGUGGAGGGCCAAAUAAUCAAGACAUUGUGUUAUGCCGUGCAGACUUCAAUGAUGUAAUUGCACUCGGCGAUGAUAAAAUUGGCAAUAGAGUUGUAAUAGUGUCUCAUAAUUAACCGAUGGGAUCCAUUGUGUAGGAGUCAAGAUGGCUGUCUCUAGCACAAGGUGCAGUAACCUCCUCCUCCAUUUCCAUUUUUAAGCCCAUGGCUGGACCAUUACACCUUACAUUUCCUAGGUCUGUCUGAAUCUGUUGCUAAAUAGAUUUCACUGUAUUGAGUUUUGCACUGGUAUUUUUAACGCACGAAUUAAGUAUAUUUCAGAACACUUUGAACUUUUGUAAUUGGAAAAUGCAGGUAGUUAUAAUUUUUGAAUUGUUCAUCUCACUGAAGCAAUGUUUAUUUAUUAUAGUGUGAUCAGCGUAGGUUUUGUAAAUAAUAUUUUAUAUUAAUUUUUAUAAAACCAUAUCAAACCUCAGGUGAGACCAUUAAACCAGGGUUUCCUACAGUUUUGUUUCAGCGGUACGGAUUGCCAAAAUCACGUUUUUGGUAAUUAAAAUAUUCAUCGGCUUUGUUUGUUAACAAAAUUAUAUUAGUGCAUUAUUUCCAGUCAGAGGUCAGAAACAUCUCUUGACACUUUUCGGAACUCUUCUUAUUUUUGGGUGUGACCACGGAGGUUUCCAUUUUGUCAUCACGCGGAAUGAAAGUAGAAUACCUCCCCUGUAACCAUCCUGCCACCUGGAUGAAGCGCAGUUUUGUUUUAAUUGGGGCUUUGUGGUGGUCGUGGUUUUAUAAAGUGCAUUCAUUCCCAGAUGAUGAAGCGUUAUUUCAGCUGGGGCCGUACACUUGCACAAGAUAUGUGGGGCAGUGCUCGUUUUUUAAUGGAAAUUCAUGCAAGUGGGGCUGUUUGCCAGUCCCAGUUUCAAUAGGCGUCUCUUUAAGUGACAAGUGUUUUUUCAGUAGUCCUGACAUCGAUUCCUACUCAUUCUUCUCAUUAUAUUCUUGAAUGCGACCCUUCAUAAGUUUUCAUCCAGGUGUGAACUGCCAUUAUUCCCACUGUUUUCUGUUCAUCCAGUCCCUGGCAGCCUACAAAGCCAGUUCUAAUCCUGUGAAUGGAUGUUCAAAUCUCUCUGUGCCUGGAAAUGUUAUUCCUUUCAAUUACCCUGUCUCCUGCUAGCCACGUCAUUUGUACCAUGUUAUGUUACGCGAAUUUAAUUUGGGAAUGUUGGCAGUCCCAGACUGACUUAAAGUUCGUCCGCUAAUUGCUAACUGCAGCCAUGAGUGUGCGCCUUCUAUGUAUCCAUUUUUAAACUUUUGAACCAGUUGAAUGAUUUUUACGAAAGUUUUUACGAGUGUUAUGCCAGUGGAGGCCGCUCUGUCGUCAUUUUUUAUUUCGUGUAGGUUUUGCUGAAAUCAUGGCUGGCAUCCAAAUUUUUUGAGGUCGGAGAAAUAUUACUGCUCCCUAAUACAGUAUAGGAUCGUGAAAUUGUAUAUCGUAUGCAGUUUUUGUUGAGGCAACUUUUAUCUAGAAUAUGAAACAAGAUGACAGCCUCGCAAAAAUGUCCCUGGCGUUCAGUUUGACAGAGAUGGGUAAUGAACUGCUGUAGCUAGGAAUUUUAAGUUCCGUAUGGUAAUAGAUCAAAGACGCAGCUGUGAAAUAUUGAUUUAUAAGUCAAUGACUACAAACAUGCAGAUAAAUUCAUUUCAAAAAUUAAUACUAAUUACAGACUCAAAUGAUAGUGAUGAUGUGUGAGAUUGACAUUUGCAAGCAAUAACAGGAAUCUUUAACUUCGGUAGGAUUCAGUCUUAAGCCCUUCUGUGCGCAAACCCUGAACAUUUCAGAGAACCUUCAAGGUGGAGAGAUGACAGCAUCUUAGGACCAGUAUUUGGUAGUUCUGCUUUCAGUUUUGCUGUGGUUCUUUGCACAUGCGUAGGUUCGUUGCCCACUUGAGAAGAGUGACUGAAGCCUUGGUUUAUGGUCUCACAUCAGAACUGAUAAAGGAAGGCGGGACUCACAGAAAACUGAUAGUCGAAGCCUUCCAUUAUCCCCUGCAGCAGAUAGACACGCAAAUGUAAAUCUCAGGUUCCUUGUUGUCUCCGGCGAUGUCUUGUUUCUAAGCGGGUAAGUUGCGGUGGGACUGGGUGGCAGGUUCUUGCUGUUCCUAUAGAUGUCAGGUGCUCCAGCUAACAGCACUUUUUGUAACACCCUGUAGCAAUUACCGCUUUAUCGAACACCACACGUUUUGCUACUGGUUUCAACGUUCAGGCAGUCAUGACACUUAGUUCCUCUCUAAAUUUGGCUGUUGUGUUGAGACCGGCGCCAUCCAGUUCAUUCAUUGAAUUUGUCAAUGCAAAUCUUUAUAGAAGAGGCAAUUGGUCAGUUUUAAAGCUUUAUAUCCACUGCUAAGAUGGCUGUGAUAAUACUUACACUUUUAAACAAGACGUCUCCCCACUGUUCACUUAGAGUCUCUGUCAUGUCACUGGAUUUCUACAGAUAUGUACUCGUGCAGUGCAUAAGAUUUUGUUGAUAUCUGUUUGCUGGAAAAGGGAAUGUGUAUUCUUUAUAAAAAUUAAUCCUGUUACAUUGUAGCUGAAUAGUUGCUUUCGUAGCGUGUACAUAAAGACUGGAAAGUUUUGUACAGUGUGUUCACUGAUAAAGUCACUUCCCAGUUCCCAGCUGGAAUUGCAAGACUUGGCCGCCAAAUGCUAAAAGGAUUUCCCAAUAUAAGUCGAGUAUUGCUCUAUAAAAUAAUAAAAUCAACUUUCCUACGUUGUAAUUCCUGCUAGAAUCCAGGAAGUGACUUACCACUGAGCGCACUGUAUUUUGUGUUUUCAAUAGUUUGACUGUGUUUCGUCAGUUUGGCACCUGGGCGCUGCCUCUGCUCAGACGCCGAUUGUCGGAGGCAGCUCUUUCGUGGAAGAAUACUUUCUUUUUCGAUGUAAUUAUCUAACACAAAUGGAUUGCUUGUUCAUUAGAAUGUGCACUUUACUUACUUCAGGUUUACAGAUUGAGAUGAGUUUAUUGUAUAUCUGUGUAACAAGUGUUAAUGGAAUAUUUAUAUUUUCUGCUGACGAUCAAUAUUGUACGACUUACGUGUUGUUGAAUUACUUACCACAGUGGUAACCCCA